RNAcentral lists this ribosomal RNA (1584 nucleotides) under Staphylococcus aureus. RNAcentral describes it as "partial 23S ribosomal RNA". It matches the Rfam family "Bacterial large subunit ribosomal RNA", at positions 1 to 1582 of the family's 2925-position model. The record is from RNAcentral. Lineage: Bacteria; Bacillati; Bacillota; Bacilli; Caryophanales; Staphylococcaceae.
AGAUUAAGUUAUUAAGGGCGCACGGUGGAUGCCUUGGCACUAGAAGCCAAUGAAGGACGUUACUAACGACGAUAUGCUUUGGGGAGCUGUAAGUAAGCUUUGAUCCAGAGAUUUCCGAAUGGGGAAACCCAGCAUGAGUUAUGUCAUGUUAUCGAUAUGUGAAUACAUAGCAUAUCAGAAGGCACACCCGGAGAACUGAAACAUCUUAGUACCCGGAGGAAGAGAAAGAAAAUUCGAUUCCCUUAGUAGCGGCGAGCGAAACGGGAAGAGCCCAAACCAACAAGCUUGCUUGUUGGGGUUGUAGGACACUCUAUACGGAGUUACAAAGGACGACAUUAGACGAAUCAUCUGGAAAGAUGAAUCAAAGAAGGUAAUAAUCCUGUAGUCGAAAAUGUUGUCUCUCUUGAGUGGAUCCUGAGUACGACGGAGCACGUGAAAUUCCGUCGGAAUCUGGGAGGACCAUCUCCUAAGGCUAAAUACUCUCUAGUGACCGAUAGUGAACCAGUACCGUGAGGGAAAGGUGAAAAGCACCCCGGAAGGGGAGUGAAAUAGAACCUGAAACCGUGUGCUUACAAGUAGUCAGAGCCCGUUAAUGGGUGAUGGCGUGCCUUUUGUAGAAUGAACCGGCGAGUUACGAUUUGAUGCAAGGUUAAGCAGUAAAUGUGGAGCCGUAGCGAAAGCGAGUCUGAAUAGGGCGUUUAGUAUUUGGUCGUAGACCCGAAACCAGGUGAUCUACCCUUGGUCAGGUUGAAGUUCAGGUAACACUGAAUGGAGGACCGAACCGACUUACGUUGAAAAGUGAGCGGAUGAACUGAGGGUAGCGGAGAAAUUCCAAUCGAACCUGGAGAUAGCUGGUUCUCUCCGAAAUAGCUUUAGGGCUAGCCUCAAGUGAUGAUUAUUGGAGGUAGAGCACUGUUUGGACGAGGGGCCCCUCUCGGGUUACCGAAUUCAGACAAACUCCGAAUGCCAAUUAAUUUAACUUGGGAGUCAGAACAUGGGUGAUAAGGUCCGUGUUCGAAAGGGAAACAGCCCAGACCACCAGCUAAGGUCCCAAAAUAUAUGUUAAGUGGAAAAGGAUGUGGCGUUGCCCAGACAACUAGGAUGUUGGCUUAGAAGCAGCCAUCAUUUAAAGAGUGCGUAAUAGCUCACUAGUCGAGUGACACUGCGCCGAAAAUGUACCGGGGCUAAACAUAUUACCGAAGCUGUGGAUUGUCCUUUGGACAAUGGUAGGAGAGCGUUCUAAGGGCGUUGAAGCAUGAUCGUAAGGACAUGUGGAGCGCUUAGAAGUGAGAAUGCCGGUGUGAGUAGCGAAAGACGGGUGAGAAUCCCGUCCACCGAUUGACUAAGGUUUCCAGAGGAAGGCUCGUCCGCUCUGGGUUAGUCGGGUCCUAAGCUGAGGCCGACAGGCGUAGGCGAUGGAUAACAGGUUGAUAUUCCUGUACCACCUAUAAUCGUUUUAAUCGAUGGGGGGACGCAGUAGGAUAGGCGAAGCGUGCGAUUGGAUUGCACGUCUAAGCAGUAAGGCUGAGUAUUAGGCAAAUCCGGUACUCGUUAAGGCUGAGCUGUGAUGGGGAGAAGAAAUUG